GUGGGGAAUUUUGGACAAUGGGCGCAAGCCUGAUCCAGCAAUGCCGCGUGCAGGAAGAAGGCCUUCGGGUUGUAAACUGCUUUUGUACGGAACGAAACGGUCCUGGCUAAUAUCCGGGGCUAAUGACGGUACCGUAAGAAUAAGCACCGGCUAACUACGUGCCAGCAGCCGCGGUAAUACGUAGGGUGCGAGCGUUAAUCGGAAUUACUGGGCGUAAAGCGUGCGCAGGCGGUGCUGUAAGACAGGCGUGAAAUCCCCGGGCUCAACCUGGGAAUUGCGCUUGUGACUGCAGUGCUGGAGUGCGGCGGAGGGGGAUGGAAUUCCGCGUGUAGCAGUGAAAUGCGUAGAUAUGCGGAGGAACACCGAUGGCGAAGGCAAUCCCCUGGGCCUGCACUGACGCUCAUGCACGAAAGCGUGGGGAGCAAACAGGAUUAGAUACCCCAGUAGUCC
Molecule: ribosomal RNA, 450 nt
Filed under: uncultured bacterium
Lineage: Bacteria
Description: partial 16S ribosomal RNA
Rfam family: Bacterial small subunit ribosomal RNA
Source: RNAcentral